RNAcentral lists this RNase P RNA (388 nucleotides) under Gemmatimonadota bacterium. RNAcentral describes it as "Gemmatimonadetes bacterium (freshwater metagenome) RNase P RNA component class A". It matches the Rfam family "Bacterial RNase P class A". Rfam says of the family: Ribonuclease P (RNase P) is a ubiquitous endoribonuclease, found in archaea, bacteria and eukarya as well as chloroplasts and mitochondria. Its best characterised activity is the generation of mature 5'-ends of tRNAs by cleaving the 5'-leader elements of precursor-tRNAs. The record is from RNAcentral. Lineage: Bacteria; Pseudomonadati; Gemmatimonadota.
GGGGGCCGACGAGGUAGUCGCGGGGCGGGUUUUCGUCCCCGAGGAAAGUCCGAGCUCCAAUGGGUAGACUGCCAGGUAACGCCUGGGCGCCGAAAGGCGACGGAUCGGGCCACAGAAAACGAACCGCCCCUUGGGUUUAGGCCCACGGGGUAAGGGUGAAAAGGUGGGGUAAGAGCCCACCGCGUUGCUGGUAACAGCAACGGCACGGUAACCCCCAGUCGGAGCAAGGCCAAAUAAGCGGCGAGGUGCGACCCACACCGACCACGUCCUUCGGGACGAGCCGCGGGUAGGCUGCUGGAGGCGCCUGGUAACGGUCGCCCUAGAGAGAUGACUAUCCGGAUGCCUUCGGGCGUCCGAACAGAACUCGGCUUACGGUCGACCCCCAACA